This 535-nucleotide ribosomal RNA is filed under the name Fusarium venenatum. RNAcentral describes it as "eukaryotic LSU rRNA". It matches the Rfam family "Eukaryotic large subunit ribosomal RNA", at positions 66 to 624 of the family's 3401-position model. The record is from RNAcentral. Lineage: Eukaryota; Fungi; Ascomycota; Sordariomycetes; Hypocreales; Nectriaceae.
CAACAGGGAUUGCCCUAGUAACGGCGAGUGAAGCGGCAACAGCUCAAAUUUGAAAUCUGGCUUUCGGGCCCGAGUUGUAAUUUGUAGAGGAUGACUUUGAUGCGGUGCCUUCCGAGUUCCCUGGAACGGGACGCCAUAGAGGGUGAGAGCCCCGUCUGGUUGGAUGCCAAAUCUCUGUAAGUCUCCUUCGACGAGUCGAGUAGUUUGGGAAUGCUGCUCUAAAUGGGAGGUAUAUGUCUUCUAAAGCUAAAUACCGGCCAGAGACCGAUAGCGCACAAGUAGAGUGAUCGAAAGAUGAAAAGCACUUUGAAAAGAGAGUUAAAAAGUACGUGAAAUUGUUGAAAGGGAAGCGUUUAUGACCAGACUUGGGCUUGGUUAAUCAUCUGGGGUUCUCCCCAGUGCACUUUUCCAGUCCAGGCCAGCAUCAGUUUUCGCCGGGGGAUAAAGACUUCGGGAAUGUGGCUCCUCUCGGGGAGUGUUAUAGCCCGUUGUGUAAUACCCUGGCGGGGACUGAGGUUCGCGCUUCUGCAAGGAU